GACGAACCGUGCGAACGUUGUUCGGAUUCACUGGCUUAAAGGGCGCGUAGGCGGCUGGCCAAGUCAGGGGUGAAAUCUUUCGGCUCAACCGGAAACGUGCCCCUGAUACUGGCCGGCUUGAGGAGGGUAGGGCGGAUGGAACUUCCGGUGGAGCGGUGAAAUGCGUAGAUAUCGGAAAGAACACCAACGGCGAAAGCACUCUGCUGGGCCGACACUGACACUGAGAGACGAAAGCUAGGGGAGCGAAUGGG
Molecule: ribosomal RNA, 251 nt
Filed under: uncultured bacterium
Lineage: Bacteria
Description: partial 16S ribosomal RNA
Rfam family: Bacterial small subunit ribosomal RNA
Source: RNAcentral